This 102-nucleotide microRNA precursor is filed under the name Marmota monax (woodchuck). Lineage: Eukaryota; Metazoa; Chordata; Mammalia; Rodentia; Sciuridae. The record is from RNAcentral.
AGUUAAAUAGCUGGAUCAAAUGGUGGUUUCAUUCCAAGUUUUCUGAGGAAUCUUCAUACUGCUUUCUAGAGUGGUUGCACAAUUUGCAGUUCCACCAGCAAU